This 66-nucleotide transfer RNA is filed under the name Pseudoacanthocephalus sp. RNAcentral's name for it is "tRNA-Asn". The record is from RNAcentral. Lineage: Eukaryota; Metazoa; Acanthocephala; Palaeacanthocephala; Echinorhynchida; Pseudoacanthocephalidae.
AUAGGUAGUUGAGGAAGAGCAUAAUUAAGGGGGUUUAUUUUGUGUCGUGUGAGGGUACCUGUUGUG